AUGCGAAACGGGGCGGCACUGCCGCCCUGUCUGCCCGAUGUGGUGAUCGGGUACUGAUGAGCAGCCGACC
This 70-nucleotide non-coding RNA is filed under the name Aeromonas veronii. Lineage: Bacteria; Pseudomonadati; Pseudomonadota; Gammaproteobacteria; Aeromonadales; Aeromonadaceae. The record is from RNAcentral. RNAcentral also lists the same sequence under 1 other name.